RNAcentral lists this non-coding RNA (25 nucleotides) under Cricetulus griseus (Chinese hamster). The record is from RNAcentral. Lineage: Eukaryota; Metazoa; Chordata; Mammalia; Rodentia; Cricetidae.
UAUCAAGUCGAGCCUGUCUGAAAAG